GUGAGGAAUAUUGCGCAAUGCCCGAAAGGGUGACGCAGCGACGCCGCGUGGAGGAUGAAGGCCCUAUGGGUCGUAAACUCCUUUUGUGAGGGAAUAAUUUCCUGCUACAGGCAGGAUUGAAUGUACCUCAGGAAAAAGCAUCGGCUAACUACGUGCCAGCAGCCGCGGUAAUACGUAGGAUGCUAGCGUUGUCCGGAUUUACUGGGUGUAAAGGGAGCGCAGGCGGGUUGGUAAGUCGGUGGUGAAAUUUUCGGGCUUAACCCGAAAACUGCCAUCGAUACUGCUGAUCUUGAGUGCAGAAGAGGUUGAUGGAAUUCUAGGUGUAGCGGUGAAAUGCGUAGAUAUCUAGAAGAACACCGAUGGCGAAGGCAGUCAACUGGUCUGUUACUGACGCUCAUGCUCGAAAGCGUGGGGAUCAAACAGGAUUAGAAACCCUAGUAGUCC
Molecule: ribosomal RNA, 444 nt
Filed under: uncultured bacterium
Lineage: Bacteria
Description: bacterial SSU rRNA
Rfam family: Bacterial small subunit ribosomal RNA
Source: RNAcentral